UAGCCUGUGUGUAAACAGAUGGCCUGUC
Molecule: non-coding RNA, 28 nt
Filed under: Mus musculus (house mouse)
Lineage: Eukaryota; Metazoa; Chordata; Mammalia; Rodentia; Muridae
Source: RNAcentral